Molecule: ribosomal RNA, 492 nt
Filed under: uncultured bacterium
Lineage: Bacteria
Description: partial 16S ribosomal RNA
Rfam family: Bacterial small subunit ribosomal RNA
Source: RNAcentral
AUUGAACGCUGGCGGCAUGCUUUACACAUGCAAGUCGAACGGUAACAGGCCUUCGGGUGCUGACGAGUGGCGCACGGGUGAGUAAUGCAUCGGAACGUACCCAGAGGUGGGGGAUAUCGCAGCGAAAGCUGUGCUAAUACCGCAUGUGAUCUGAGGAUGAAAGCGGGGGACCGAGCAGCAAUGUUUGGCCUCGCGCCUUUGGAGCGGCCGAUGUCGGAUUAGCUAGUUGGUGGGGUAAAGGCCUACCAAGGCGACGAUCCGUAGCUGGUCUGAGAGGACGACCAGCCACACUGGGACUGAGACACGGCCCAGACUCCUACGGGAGGCAGCAGUGGGGAAUUUUGGACAAUGGGCGCAAGCCUGAUCCAGCAAUGCCGCGUGCGGGAAGAAGGCCUUCGGGUUGUAAACCGCUUUUGGCAGGAACGAAACGGUGUCCGCUAAUACCGGGCGCUAAUGACGGUACCUGCAGAAUAAGCACCGGCUAACUACGUG